UUCUGUUUUGUUGGCUUUCUGACACCAGAGGUAAUGAUUAAUAGGGACAACUGGGGGCAUUCGUAUUGCGACGUUAGAGGUGAAAUUCUUGGAUCGUCGCAAGACGGACUAAAGCGAAAGCAUUUGCCAAAGGUGUUUUCAUUAAUCAAGAACGAAAGUUAGAGGUUCGAAGGCGAUUAGAUACCGCUGUAGUUCUAACCAUAAAUGAUGCCAGCCAGCGAUCCGCCGAAGUUUCUUAUUUUGAUUCGGUGGGCAGCUCCCGGGAAACCAAAGCUUUCGGGCUCCGGGGGGAGUAUGGUUGCAAAGCUGAAACUUAAAGGAUG
Molecule: ribosomal RNA, 323 nt
Filed under: Cyrnus trimaculatus
Lineage: Eukaryota; Metazoa; Arthropoda; Insecta; Trichoptera; Polycentropodidae
Description: SSU rRNA
Rfam family: Eukaryotic small subunit ribosomal RNA
Source: RNAcentral